CCAGGAUUCUAGCCUAAUGCCUUGCCAGGUAGAUGACAUUGUCUCCCAUUAAAGUUGAUUACCGUCUAGUCAAAGGAGAUUGAACUUGGUAUAUUCAGAAGUGAAUGCUUGUGCUUCCAGAGCCUGAGCUAAAAAAGCUGAAGUAGACAACUGUGAAAUACUUGCAUCAUCUGUGGGUCAGGCAUAGGGAAGCACAGUGGCCAAAGGUAUAUGGAAGAUUUUGGAAAUCUUGAUGCUCAGCAACUGUUUUGUCCAGUUGCCAUGGACAGAACAAAGAAAGAAAUCUGACAACUAUAGAACGAAAAAGAAAAUACUGAAAUUAUUCCAGUUUAAGUUAACAAUAGAUUUAAGUGCUUUCCUCACUCUCCUAAUUUAAGACAAGCUCUGAACUGUCUUAUAUCCAGUGAAGUUGGUAGUGAGUUUGGCCAAUUUUUCUUCAGCACCCCAAUAAAACUUGUGUGUAAGUUUGAAUAACAAUAACAAUAUGUUUAUCUAUGUAUACAUAUAGAAACUAUGAGAUGGAAAUACAUAAAUGUAUCCAUCCAAAAUUUUUCUUCUGAAAAUUUGGAUGAUUUUACCAUUAUGUUGCAACGUGAAUAUAAUUGCCUUAUAGAACUGGAACUAUACAAUUAGAGAUUGAGAUAUAUGAGAUAUAUAUGCAACACUGUCAUGUAGAAAAUGUAUACCAGUUCUUGUGCCACAUUAUCACCACAGGGUACUGUCAGUGGUGUGAGUGAAGAGAUAGCCAAACAAUAAGCACAAAUAAGAAACAUUUUCAUAGCUA
This is a long non-coding RNA of Gavialis gangeticus (Gharial), 784 nucleotides long. RefSeq lists it as uncharacterized. Lineage: Eukaryota; Metazoa; Chordata; Crocodylia; Gavialidae. The record is from RefSeq and is a predicted model, not a curated record. The transcript is spliced from 3 exons.